RNAcentral lists this ribosomal RNA (188 nucleotides) under uncultured eukaryote. RNAcentral describes it as "partial 18S ribosomal RNA". The record is from RNAcentral.
ACUUCUUGUGUUAGGAAUUGGUCUUCUGCUGCCAGGGCUUGGUCUUCUGCUGCCAGGAUGUGGUUCCCCCCACUGUAGGUCAGGUUGUUCCCCCCACUGUUAGUCAGGUGUUGAGAUGCCUGAUUUCCCAGAGCUUCAUCUUGGGUCAGGUCUUGAGAUGCCUGUUGUUCCAGAGUGUCAUCUUGGUU